This 450-nucleotide ribosomal RNA is filed under the name uncultured bacterium. RNAcentral's name for it is "partial 16S ribosomal RNA". It matches the Rfam family "Bacterial small subunit ribosomal RNA", at positions 354 to 796 of the family's 1533-position model. The record is from RNAcentral.
GUGGGGAAUUUUGGACAAUGGGCGCAAGCCUGAUCCAGCAAUGCCGCGUGCAGGAUGAAGGCCUUCGGGUUGUAAACUGCUUUUGUACGGAACGAAAAGGUUCUCUCUAAUACAGGGGGCUGAUGACGGUACCGUAAGAAUAAGCACCGGCUAACUACGUGCCAGCAGCCGCGGUAAUACGUAGGGUGCAAGCGUUAAUCGGAAUUACUGGGCGUAAAGCGUGCGCAGGCGGUGAUGUAAGACAGAGGUGAAAUCCCCGGGAUCAACCUGGGAAUGGCGCUUGUGACUGCAAAGCUGGAGUGAGGCAGAGGGGGAUGGAAUGCCGCUGGUAGCAGUGAAAUGCGUAGAUAUGCGGAGGAACACCGAUGGCGAAGGCAAUCCCCUGGGCCUGCACUGACGCUCAUGCACGAAAGCGUGGGGAGCAAACAGGAUUAGAAACCCCAGUAGUCC